RNAcentral lists this ribosomal RNA (447 nucleotides) under uncultured bacterium. RNAcentral's name for it is "partial 16S ribosomal RNA". It matches the Rfam family "Bacterial small subunit ribosomal RNA", at positions 29 to 523 of the family's 1533-position model. The record is from RNAcentral.
AACGAACGCUGGCGGCAGGCUUAACACAUGCAAGUCGAACGCCCCGCAAGGGGAGUGGCAGACGGGUGAGUAACGCGUGGGAAUCUACCCAGUUCUACGGAACAACUGAGGGAAACUUCAGCUAAUACCGUAUACGCCCUACGGGGGAAAGAUUUAUCGGAAUUGGAUGAGCCCGCGUAAGAUUAGCUAGUUGGUGGGGUAAAGGCCUACCAAGGCGACGAUCUUUAGCUGGUCUGAGAGGAUGAUCAGCCACACUGGGACUGAGACACGGCCGAGACUCCUACGGGAGGCAGCAGUGGGGAAUAUUGGACAAUGGGCGCAAGCCUGAUCCAGCCAUGCCGCGUGAGUGGUGAAGGCCUUAGGGUUGUAAAGCUCUUUCAGUGGGGACGAUAAUGACGGUACCCACAGAAGAAGCCCCGGCUAACUUCGUGCCAGCCGCCGCGGUAA